AUUGAACGCUGGCGGCAGGCUUAACACAUGCAAGUCGAGCGGGGGGAGGUAGCUUGCUACCGGACCUAGCGGCGGACGGGUGAGUAAUGCUUAGGAAUCUGCCUAUUAGUGGGGGACAACAUCCCGAAAGGGAUGCUAAUACCGCAUACGUCCUACGGGAGAAAGCAGGGGAUCUUCGGACCUUGCGCUAAUAGAUGAGCCCAAGUCGGAUUAGCUAGUUGGUGGGGUAAAGGCCUACCAAGGCGACGAUCUGUAGCGGGUCUGAGAGGAUGAUCCGCCACACUGGGACGGGAACACGGCCCAGACUCCUACGGGAGGCAGCAGUGGGGAAUAUUGGACAAUGGGGGGAACCCUGAUCCAGCCAUGCCGCGUGUGUGAAGAAGGCCUUAUGGUUGUAAAGCACUUUAAGCGAGGAGGAGGCUACUUUAGUUAAUACCUAGAGAUAGUGGACGUUACUCGCAGAAUAAGCACCGGCUAACUCUGUGCCAGCCGCCGCGGUAA
RNAcentral lists this ribosomal RNA (501 nucleotides) under uncultured bacterium. RNAcentral's name for it is "partial 16S ribosomal RNA". It matches the Rfam family "Bacterial small subunit ribosomal RNA", at positions 30 to 523 of the family's 1533-position model. The record is from RNAcentral.